Molecule: ribosomal RNA, 627 nt
Filed under: uncultured Russulaceae
Lineage: Eukaryota; Fungi; Basidiomycota; Agaricomycetes; Russulales; Russulaceae
Description: LSU rRNA
Rfam family: Eukaryotic large subunit ribosomal RNA
Source: RNAcentral
UAAGCGGAGGAAAAGAAACUAACAAGGAUUCCCCUAGUAACUGCGAGUGAAGCGGGAAAAGCUCAAAUUUAAAAUCUGGUGGUCUCUGGNCGUCCGAGUUGUAAUUUAGAGAAGCGUCUNNCGCGCUGGACCGUGCACAAGUCUCCUGGAAUGGAGCGUCAUAGAGGGUGAGAAUCCCGUCUUUGGCACGGACACACCAGGGCUUUUGUGAUGCGCUCUCGAAGAGUCGAGUUGUUCGGGAAUGCAGCUCAAAAUGGGUGGUGAACUCCAUCUAAAGCUAAAUAUUGGCGAGAGACCGAUAGCGAACAAGUACCGUGAGGGAAAGAUGAAAAGCACUUUGGAAAGAGAGUGAAACAGUACGUGAAAUUGUUGAAAGGGAAACGCUUGAAGUCAGUCGCGUCGACCGAGACUCAGCCUUGCCUUGGCUUGGUGUACUUCUCGGCUGACGGGUCAGCAUCAAUUUUGCCCCUUGGAUAAUGGUGAGGGAAAUGUGACACCUUUACGGUGUGUUAUAGUCUCUUGUCGCAUGCAAGGGUCGGGAUUGAGGAACUCAGCACGCGCCUUUGGGCGUCGGGGCUUUGCCCACGAUACGUGCUUAGGAUGUUGGCAUAAUGGCUUUAAACGACC